Molecule: long non-coding RNA, 501 nt
Organism: Anastrepha obliqua
Lineage: Eukaryota; Metazoa; Arthropoda; Insecta; Diptera; Tephritidae
Exons: 3
Source: RefSeq, a predicted model, not a curated record
AUAUUUUCGUGCUGUUUGCUUGCGCAACAUGUUUUCUGCUCUACACUUGCCGCCGCGCCACCCUUUCUCUUGUAGAUAUAUACAUACAUAUGCAGGCGUAGGCGCUGCCUUCGAUUUUGUGCUGUAAAUAUGGCAAUUUGCUUGAUUAAACAGUGAAAUAAUUGCACUUUUCUACAAAAAUUAUAUGUAAAUAUCGAUGCCGCCAACACAAUUUUAUCGGCGUUCUGGGGGCGUUACAGUUUUUUAUGAUGAUUUUGAUUAUAGGUAUUCCAGUUUCUUAAAGUAGUAAAUUUUUAGAUAUUUACUAAAGCAAAUUAAUUUUGAAGUAUGUAUGUAUGUAUACAUGUAUGUUGUACCAACGUUGUCGAAGAUCUGAUGACAUGAAUUCGUAGGCGAUGACGGUUGUUGAAAUUAAGUGCAAACUGAACGCUUUCUUCAUAUUGACUUUACUGUGGGUUUUAACGAUACGCCUAUGUAAAUAUGUAAAUAAAAGCCUGUUCA